UCUCUUAAAGUAAUAUUUACACUUUAAUUUCGACUUAAAACUAUGAUUUAAUUCUAAUCUAAGAGAA
Molecule: transfer RNA, 67 nt
Filed under: Stenamma impar
Lineage: Eukaryota; Metazoa; Arthropoda; Insecta; Hymenoptera; Formicidae
Description: tRNA-Arg
Source: RNAcentral